AAAGGCAGAAGCCCGUGAACGUGAGAGAGAAAAGGAAGAAGCUCGGAAAAUGAAACGAAAAGAGUCUGCCUUUAAGAGUAUGUUGAAACAGGCCACUCCUCCAAUAGAACUGGAUGCUGUCUGGGAAGAUAUCCGGGAAAGAUUUGUGAAGGAACCAGCAUUUGAGGAUAUAACUCUAGAAUCUGAAAGAAAAAGAAUAUUUAAAGAUUUCAUGCAUGUGCUUGAGGAUCUCCAGGUGGUGAAGAGAUGGUUCAUUGGAUAAAGAGUGCAAGCGUGAAAAACAGUCUGCAUACCUAUCAGGCAGGGCAUGAAUGUCAGCAUCAUCAUUCAAAGAACAAGAAACAUUCUAAGAAAUCUAAAAAACACCAUAGGAAACGCUCCCGCUCUCGAUCGGGAUCAGACUCAGAUGAUGAUGACAGCCAUUCAAAGAAAAAAAGACAGCGAUCAGAAUCCCAUUCUGCUUCAGAACAUUCUUCUAGUGCUGAGUCUGAGAGAAGUUACAAGAAAUCAAAAAAGCAUAAGAAGAAAAGCAAAAAGAGGAGACAUAAAUCUGACUCUCCAGAAUCAGAUACUGAACGAGAGAAGGAUAAAAAAGAAAAAGAUCGGGAAAGUGAAAAAGACAGAAGUAGGCAGAGAUCAGAAUCAAAACACAAAUCACCUAAGAAAAAGACUGGAAAGGAUUCU
Molecule: long non-coding RNA, 684 nt
Filed under: Rattus norvegicus (Norway rat)
Lineage: Eukaryota; Metazoa; Chordata; Mammalia; Rodentia; Muridae
Description: long non-coding RNA NONRATT019301
Source: RNAcentral